UUUCUUAUCAUAAAAAUGCGUAAAUAUAUAUGUAGACUAGAUGUUAUCAUAUGCUAACAUACACGAAAUAAUUUACUUUGUUGUCAUGUUUUUUCACAAAAAAAAAUCCUAAUUUCUACAACCGCUAAUCAUUUAUUACUGAAGUGAUUUAUGAUUAAUUGUUGGUGUUUAAUGCCGUUUUCAGCACUAUUUGCUAUUGCUUGGCAUUCAAUUUUUAUUGGUUGGAUAAGCUGAAGUGGCUGAUAGAAUCAACCACUUUCCACAGGAAAAUUGAGUUAUGUAUGAGUAAUCUUGACUCCAAAGGAGAAGAUAUGAUAAGGUCACUUACUUGCACCCUGGAUUUGAAGAAGAAAACUCAAAGUUUAUAAAUCUAUUAUAUAUUCUGAUAUUCAUUAGUUUGUAAAAUGUCAGUAUUUACAUUUGAAUUAUGUCUUACAUAUUUGUAUUUUGAUUCAAACUUCUUGUAUUUAAAGCAAACACACAAAAUCUGCCAACAUGACUCAUAAGAACUUGUCAUUAAUAUUAAAAUACAACCAACACAGUCACCUUUUCCAAAAAAAUAUUUUACUACAAAUAAUCUUACAAAAAUGUUAAUGCUGGUAAACUGUACUAUUUGGGUAAGGGUUGCCUCAUCUUUAAUUUUGCCAAAAUGAGUGUAAAAUUGUCAUUUAAGGUCAAAUAUAUCAAUUUAAACCUGUUUAUGACUUAAAUUGUGAUGUAAAUUUGACUUUCUGCAAUUUUGUGUUCAGAUAACAUCAUCAUUUCAUUUAUCAAUAAAAUCAACAUAAAUUUUAAAGGCUCAAGUAUAUUUGACCAAAUUUUCAAUAUUAAGGGCACAUUAAAUUCAGUAACAGUUCUUAUCAUACUUUUCGUUAAAGGACCUUUUUUGCUUAGUUAGUACAGAACAAAAUUAUACUUGUGUUCUGUAUUCAUACAUUGACAUCCUCAAAUGUACUGUUAGUUUGUUCAUUGCUGAGAACCUUGGAGCUACUAUUUGAUUACAUGUACAACAAUUUGAUCUACUUUACAAAAAAUUCUACAUUAUCUUACAUGAUUAACAAUUUUUCAUGGUGAGAAAAAAAAAUCUUUUUUUUUCUUUUUCAAUUUUUUUAGUCCUGUUCCAUGACUGACUCCCAUCACAUGAAUACAUUGGGAUGCAUUGUAUAUAUUAAUAAGACAGCAAACCAACAAAAAUAAGAUCAAAAUAAACAUGUAUACGGCAUCGUAGUCAUCAAUGAUGGUCAAUUAACCACACUGUAUGGCAAGAUCUAAACAUGGUCAUAAUAAAGAUAAGAUAAAGGCACAUUUGAUUUUUUUGUAAAUUUCACAACCUGAUUAAAACAUUUUGAUUUGAAUGUUACAUUGAGCAAUCCUACAACUCUGUACACAAAGAUACUUUCCUAUAGUCAUUUUGAUUCAGUUAAUCUCU
This 1429-nucleotide long non-coding RNA is filed under the name Mytilus galloprovincialis (Mediterranean mussel). The record is from RNAcentral. Lineage: Eukaryota; Metazoa; Mollusca; Bivalvia; Mytilida; Mytilidae.